GGGGCUGUGGCUCAGAGGCAGAGCGCUCACCUGGCAUGAGUGAGGCACUGGGUUCGAUCCCCAGCACCACA
This 71-nucleotide transfer RNA is filed under the name Marmota monax (woodchuck). RNAcentral's name for it is "tRNA.Ala". It matches the Rfam family "tRNA". From Rfam's summary of the family: Transfer RNA (tRNA) molecules are approximately 80 nucleotides in length. Lineage: Eukaryota; Metazoa; Chordata; Mammalia; Rodentia; Sciuridae. The record is from RNAcentral.